CAGCACCUCAAGUGGUCAGGAUGAUUAUUGGGCCUAAAGCAUCCGUAGCCGGCGCUGUAAGUUUUCGGUUAAAUCUGUAUGCUCAACAUACAGGCUGCCGGGAAUACUGCAGAGCUAGGGAGUGGGAGAGGUAGACGGUACUCGGUAGGAAGGGGUAAAAUCCUUUGAUCUAUUGAUGACCACCUGUGGCGAAGGCGGUCUACCAGAACACGUCCGACGGUGAGGGAUGAAAGCUGGGGGAGCAAAACGGAUUAGAGACCCGCGUAGUCC
RNAcentral lists this ribosomal RNA (270 nucleotides) under uncultured archaeon. RNAcentral describes it as "partial 16S ribosomal RNA". It matches the Rfam family "Archaeal small subunit ribosomal RNA", at positions 477 to 747 of the family's 1478-position model. The record is from RNAcentral.